AGGCUAGAGCACACAAUUUGAUGUGCAAUCUCAUCUGAUUUUGGAAGGUAAGCAGUGUUUGGCCUGGUUAGUACUUGGAUGGGAGAUCGCAGAGUAGCAAUGGCUCUCGUGCAUA
Molecule: ribosomal RNA, 115 nt
Filed under: Periophthalmus magnuspinnatus
Lineage: Eukaryota; Metazoa; Chordata; Actinopteri; Gobiiformes; Gobiidae
Source: RNAcentral